CUGCAUGGCUGUCGUCAGCUCGUGUCGUGAGAUGUUCGGUUAAGUCCGCUAACGAGCGCAACCCUCGUCGUAUGUUAUAUGUGUCAUACGAGACUGCCGGUAAAAAGCCGGAGGAAGGUGAGGAUGAUGUCAAGUCAGCAUGACCUUUAUAUCCAGGGCUACACACACGCUACAAUGGUCUGUACAAUGGGUAGCCAAGCCGCGAGGCGGAGCCAAUCCUGAAAGCAGGCCUCAGUUCAGAUUGCAGUCUGCAACUCGACUGCAUGAAGCCGGAGUUGCUAGUAACCGCAGGUCAGCAAUACUGCGGUGAAUACGUUCCCGGGUCUC
Molecule: ribosomal RNA, 327 nt
Filed under: uncultured Anaerolineaceae bacterium
Lineage: Bacteria; Bacillati; Chloroflexota; Anaerolineae; Anaerolineales; Anaerolineaceae
Description: bacterial SSU rRNA
Rfam family: Bacterial small subunit ribosomal RNA
Source: RNAcentral